AAAAUCACUUUACUGGCACUAUAUAUAGAUGAACAUUAAUUGGGAAUUGAAGACAUGCAGUGCCAAUAACGAUAGAAGCAUAUACUGAGAAAUGGGGUAUUCAGUGAGAGAACAAACGUGGUGGGUGGUGGUCGUCGUGGGAAUGACAAUAUUAGGGCUUCAUGUUGGAGGAGGAGAGGGAUGCUUGAGAGAAGAGAGAGAAGCUCUCUGAAACUGAAAGAAGCAUUCAAUUACCCAAAUGGCUCUUCUCUUCCUUCUGGAAUAACCUUACCAAUCAUUCUGAUUGCUGCACUUGGGAGCGUGUAGCCUGUGACAACUACACUCACAGAGUGAUAGAGCUUGAUCUGAGUCACACCAGACCUCAAGAGUUGAGACGCAUCAAAUGGUCUCUUAAUGCUUCUUACUUUCUCCCUUUCCACCAACUUCAACACUUGGAUUUGUGGGCGAAUUACUUGUCACAGUCAGGGCUGUUUGGCGAUAUUAGGCUCCACAGCUUGGAAUUGCUGUUUUUAGUGGGAAAUGAGCUCACAGAAGCCCCAUCUUUUGAUCUUUCUCGUUCACGCAAUUUGAAGGUUCUGAGCCUUCGUGGGAAUUUCUUGGAGGGUAGUCUUCCAGAAUCUAUUAUGUCUCUUCUUCCCUCACCUUCUUAUCAUUAAGCCACAACAACAUGAAUGGCUCACUGCCUAAACAAGGAGGCUUGUGCAAUAUGAAGAAUCUUCAACAAUUGGAUCUUUCCUUAAACAAUUUUGAGGGGCAACUUCCAAUGUGCCUUGGCAAUUUGACAUCUCUAAGUUUACUUGGUCUUGAGUCGAUCGUUUUGACGGAACCUUUCCUUCUUGACUCUUUCAUACUUUGAGAUCUCUAGCCACAGUUUCUUUCUCUGAUGACAAUUUCAGGGGCUCAUUCUCACUUUCUUUGCUUGCCAACCACUCCAAUCUUCGAGACUUUCACAUGUCAUGUUAUAACGCCAAUGUCAAGCUCGAAAACUGAGAAUCCCC
Long non-coding RNA from Prosopis cineraria, 998 nucleotides. RefSeq lists it as uncharacterized. The transcript is spliced from 4 exons. The record is from RefSeq and is a predicted model, not a curated record. Lineage: Eukaryota; Viridiplantae; Streptophyta; Magnoliopsida; Fabales; Fabaceae.